RNAcentral lists this long non-coding RNA (1385 nucleotides) under Paramuricea clavata. Lineage: Eukaryota; Metazoa; Cnidaria; Anthozoa; Malacalcyonacea; Plexauridae. The record is from RNAcentral.
AAAAAGAUAGGGAAAUGCAAAAUUUUGGCAGUAAAACGGCGAUUUUAAGCGCAGUGACCGAUCAAUCUUCAUUUUCUGCACGAAUUUUGCAAAUAAAUGGCACACUGCGUCUUCUUAGCGAAAGGGAAUUGAACGAAUACCAUUUUUAACGGCGAAAAUGAGAAAAGACACCCGAAGGAGUGAGAAUUUCUGGCAAUCUGAGGAUUCGAUUCUGUAGACCUGAACUCCAGCUGGAACUAGCUUGGCAACUUUAUAUGUGAGUUUUUUUUCUCUAGCUCAUAUAUAUGAAAUUAUCAAUAUAUUUUUGUGAAGUGCAAUGUUGUAUGAAAGGGUUGUCGUUAAUUUAAACAUUGCAUAAACAGCAUUCAAUUACGAAAAAUAUGAACAUCAACAUUCAACAUGGACUGAUGGACUUGGACAUGGAGCCACAGUACUCUAAAGUUCUCAUAUAGACUUUAUUUAACUUAUAUGUUGACCCAAUGGUGAGGGAUUGGUCAAAUUAUACUUUAUAGUGAUUCCCCUAGAUUAGUGCAUUGGUUAUUGUGCAAUGACAACCUUUUUUUGGCUCUCAAAGGUCAAUAAUUUCUCAAACAUGCCAAGUCUGUACAUGUUUAAUAAUCUUUUAUUUUGCUUUUCUAGAUUGCCAAUCAUUCCUGUUGAACUACAUUGUUCAUUACAAUGAAUCAGAUGCAGAUCUUACAACUAUGUUAAUUUGUUCACCUGAUUGGGGAAAACCUGAGACUAUUUGAUCUUAUAUUGGAAAGCCUACCAAUUUUACAUAGCCUCAGGCAAUGUUUAUAUAAUUAAUCUUGAGUAAUAGAGAUGCUGUACCCCCUGACGGAGUGACCUUACUACCUGGAUCAUCCCACUAGGCAAGACAAGUUCAAAACUUUCCAUGCAAACACUUGCAUGGCAGUUGCUAUAAUAGGAUAUGAAUAUAGUUUUGCCUUGCCAGGGUGGCUCGGGGGGGGGGGUAGGAUUUCCCUAGUACCCGGAGACCAUAUAGACAGGCCGUCGGAUUACUGUAAUAGUUUAAUUGAGGUUCAAAAAAGCAGCCCCCCCCCCAAAGUGGUAGGCCUGCUCCCCAAAUCCAGCCCCCCUUGGAAGAUGUACUGUAAAGCUAGACAAUUUUACUUGUUAACCCAACUUUAUUAUUCUGUCUAACACCGGACGAUCCAGUUAACCCAUUGAGUUGCAUUGCAUGUGCCCUGAUGCACCCUACUUUAUUAUUUUACUCUGUCUAACGCCAGACGAUUUUACUCGUCAAGGGGUGAGCACACUUUAACAUGCAAAGUAUUAAUUGGGAAUACUUUCUCUUUUAAUGGGAAACUCUUUAUCAAUAAAAGGAACAAUGCAAUUAUUCUGUAGUAUUUAAUUUUUCAUAU